UUCAAGCUGGCUUAAAAUACUUUUGU
Molecule: non-coding RNA, 26 nt
Filed under: Cricetulus griseus (Chinese hamster)
Lineage: Eukaryota; Metazoa; Chordata; Mammalia; Rodentia; Cricetidae
Source: RNAcentral